Molecule: long non-coding RNA, 357 nt
Filed under: Mytilus galloprovincialis (Mediterranean mussel)
Lineage: Eukaryota; Metazoa; Mollusca; Bivalvia; Mytilida; Mytilidae
Source: RNAcentral
UGCCUUGGCUCACACCAUCAGUACGCAAACUAAUAAAACACCGUGACAGAUUGUACAAAAAGCAUAAAAAGUUAGCUGAUCUUACAAAAACAUCCAAACUUAAAGAAACAAAGAGAAUGGUACAAAGAGAGCUCCGUCGUUCAUAUUGGAACUACAAUGAGAACAUCGUAACACCUAAGGAGGAAAACAACCAAUAUAGUAGUAUGAAACGUUUCUGGACAUACAUCAAACAUCAGAAAACAGAAUCCUCCUUCCAAACCGGCUUCAAUAUUGAUAAAAUUUUCCAGCGUAAAGGUAAGUAAGUUUAUUGAAAUGGAGUUGCACACAUUCGCAGUGAAGGUAUACUACACACACACC